CCGCCGCAGUAACACAUGCAAGUCGAGCGAUCUUCUUCGGAAGAGAGCGGCGGACGGGUGAGUAACACGUGGGUAACCUGCCCUGUACACACGGAUAACAUACCGAAAGGUAUGCUAAUACGGGAUAACAUACUUUUAUCGCAUGGUAGAAGUAUCAAAGCUCCGGCGGUACAGGAUGGACCCGCGUCUGAUUAGCUAGUUGGUAAGGUAAUGGCUUACCAAGGCGACGAUCAGUAGCAGACCUGAGAGGGUGAUCGGCCACAUUGGAACUGAGACACGGUCCAAACUCCUACGGGAGGCAGCAGUGGGGAAUAUUGCACAAUGGGCGAAAGCCUGAUGCAGCAACGCCGCGUGAGCGAUGAAGGCCUUCGGGUCGUAAAGCUCUGUCCUCAAGGAAGAUAAUGACGGUACUUGAGGAGGAAGCCCCGGCUAACUACGUGCCAGCAGCCGCAGUAAGAC
This 459-nucleotide ribosomal RNA is filed under the name uncultured bacterium. Its description in RNAcentral is "bacterial SSU rRNA". It matches the Rfam family "Bacterial small subunit ribosomal RNA", at positions 40 to 526 of the family's 1533-position model. The record is from RNAcentral.